UUGAUAACACAAGCUGAUGCCGCCGGACGCGGCCCAUGCUGCUCGGUGCGCGUUGGGGAGGCCGUCGUGUCAAAAGCGAUGGUUUCUAAUCCCUUCUGUGGCCCAUGGUCACGUUAAUCGGCGCGAGGGCUGAUGCCCCGCCCCGUGCUUCAGAUGUUCGAGUCGGGUCUGAAGCGCGCGUCCCUACCGAACAGAUUAAAUACAUGGGACUUCACUCAUCGCGGUCGCAAGACCUGCGAGGCCACGGCCAUAUCAUCAAUAUAACUAUCACAAACAUACAGUUAAUUA
RNAcentral lists this unclassified non-coding RNA (288 nucleotides) under uncultured fungus. RNAcentral's name for it is "sequence contains ITS1, 5.8S rRNA gene". Lineage: Eukaryota; Fungi. The record is from RNAcentral.